AUGAGGACCAGGUUGCAGCAAAAGGUGCCGGCGAGAAGUUUUGAGCCUCUCCUGGAGGAUGGGACUGUUGGCUGCUCCCUGAGGUGCCCGGGGGACAACCAGGGGACAAGGCCAGGGCGGUGUCACCCCCGUGCCAACCCUCCCAGCCUGGGCACGGCUCAGAUCCUUCCGUUUCUUCUUGUUGUUCCUUUUCCUGCUCCCCAUCCUGGCGUCUGCCCGGCUCCCAGGAUGGGCAGAGGUCACUGUGGGCACGGCCAGCACACAGUCACCUGGCCAGAGCUGGAGCCUGUCCCCAGGGACAUCCCCACCCAUGGCUCCUGGCCCAGGGAUGGGGUGUCCCCUCCUCCUCCUGGGGCGCUGGGGUGGAGAUCCAGAGCUCGGGAUUGCCUCGGGAGGAGCUCGGGGGCUGCCGGGCUGUGCGAGGCCCUGGGCAGAGCUCUGGGGACAGAGCAGCUCCCCCGGGAUGCUCUGAGGAUAUUCCAGGGUGGCACCCGCGGUCCUGGGGGUGGUGGCCGUCCCCAGCUCUGGGUGUGUCCCCAGGUCCCUUUAAGAAACGCCACUUUGGGCUUUUCCCCGCUUUGUCCGGCUCGUUCCACCCCCGGCACCUCUCUCAUCCUGGGAUCUGAGCACACCCUGACAGCCGAUCCCUCGGGAAUGGCCAGGGGUCAGCUGCCAGCAGCGGCGUCUUCCAGCGGGGUGGGCACCCCGGACACCCCCGGGACAGCCCGGGACACACCUGGGACAGCCCGGGACACACCUGGGACACCCCAGACACCCCCGGGACACCCCGGGACACCCCCGAGACACACCGGGACACCCCCGGGACACCCCGGGGACACACCGGGCCACCCCAGACACCCCCGGACACCCCCGGGACACCCCAGAACCCCCCGGGACCCCCCUGCUCCAGUUGUUUUUAACCCCUCCGUAGCCACCGCCCGCGACUCCUCGUGUAACGCUCGGAUCUGUCGGAAUAAAAGAGAUCAAACACUGCGCUCCCAGCUCCGUGUGGAAUUCCGUGGGAAUGUUGGGAUUUAAACCUGCCUAAGGACAAGGUUAUUAUGGGCUGGUUUUACAGGGAAAAAGCUGCACGGGGUGGGGGAUUUUCCUUGGAAUGAUUUUCCCUGGAUGUGGGGCGGGCGCUUUCCCAGCAGCAGAAAUGAUGAAUUUUUGUGUGUUUGUAUAUAAUUAUACAAAAAUAAUUACAAAAUCUGUAUCGCGCUAGAUUAUAAAAAUACAUAUAAUUAAGGGCAUUAAAUAUAUAUAAUUAUCAUCUAGUACAUAUAAUAAAAUAUAUGAGCCAAUGGAUAUAUUUUAAAAU
RNAcentral lists this long non-coding RNA (1321 nucleotides) under Cyanistes caeruleus (blue tit). RNAcentral's name for it is "lncRNA (ENSCCEG00000000393.1)". Lineage: Eukaryota; Metazoa; Chordata; Aves; Passeriformes; Paridae. The record is from RNAcentral.